The submitters of this non-coding RNA (121 nucleotides) gave its source as unclassified sequences. The record is from Rfam.
UAGAAAUACAGGUAUAAGUACACUGUUUAAACAUCUGAACUGUGAUUAAAGCAAUUAAGCGUAUGUUAAGUACGUCGCACUCAGAUGGAGAAGCACCGUUAGGUGCUUUUUUUGUAAUCUU